AGCGGCGGAUGGGUGAGUAACACGUGGGGAACCUGCCCCUAAGUCUGGGAUACCAUUUGGAAACAGGUGCUAAUACCGGAUAAUAAAGCAGAUCGCAUGAUCAGCUUUUGAAAGGCGGCGUAAGCUGUCGCUAGGGAUGGCCCCGCGGUGCAUUAGCUAGUUGGUAAGGUAACGGCUUACCAAGGCGACGAUGCAUAGCCGAGUUGAGAGACUGAUCGGCCACAUUGGGACUGAGACACGGCCCAAACUCCAACGGGAGGCAGCAGUAGGGAAUCUUCCACAAUGGACGCAAGUCUGAUGGAGCAACGCCGCGUGAGUGAAGAAGGUUUUCGGAUCGUAAAGCUCUGUUGUUGGUGAAGAAGGAUAGAGGUAGUAACUGGCCUUUAUUUGACGGUAAUCAACCAGAAAGUCACGGCUAACUACGUGCCAGCAGCCGCGGUAAUACGUAGGUGGCGAGCGUUGUCCGGAUUUAUUGGGCGUAAAGCGAGCGCAGGCGGAAAAAUAAGUCUAAUGUGAAAGCCCUCGGCUUAACCGAGGAACUGCAUCGGAAACUGUUUUUCUUGAGUGCAGAAGAGGAGAGUGGAACUCCAUGUGUAGCGGUGGAAUGCGUAGAUAUAUGGAAGAACACCAGUGGCGAAGGCGGCUCUCUGGUCUGCAACUGACGCUGAAGCUCGAAAGCAUGGGUAGCGAACAGGAUUAGAUACCCUGGUAGUCCAUGCCGUAAACGAUGAGUGCUAAGUGU
Molecule: ribosomal RNA, 742 nt
Filed under: uncultured bacterium
Lineage: Bacteria
Description: bacterial SSU rRNA
Rfam family: Bacterial small subunit ribosomal RNA
Source: RNAcentral